ACAUUGAAACAUUGGUUCUCACUCGAUCAUCAAAGUUAAGCAAUGUUGAGCCUGGUCAUUAACUAGAUGGGUGACUGCUUGGGAAUACCAGGUGCUGUAA
Molecule: non-coding RNA, 100 nt
Organism: Acanthosepion pharaonis
Lineage: Eukaryota; Metazoa; Mollusca; Cephalopoda; Sepiida; Sepiidae
Source: the annotation of a GenBank genome assembly